This is a small nuclear RNA of Cavia porcellus (domestic guinea pig), 107 nucleotides long. Lineage: Eukaryota; Metazoa; Chordata; Mammalia; Rodentia; Caviidae. The record is from Ensembl.
GUGCUCGCUUCGGCAGCACAUAUACUAAAAUUGGAACGAUACGGAGAAGAUUAGCAUGGCCCCUGCGCAAGGAUGAAAAGAGCAGUGGCUUGCAUAAAAUAGGUUUU